This 848-nucleotide ribosomal RNA is filed under the name Muyocopron lithocarpi. RNAcentral describes it as "partial large subunit ribosomal RNA". It matches the Rfam family "Eukaryotic large subunit ribosomal RNA", at positions 88 to 951 of the family's 3401-position model. Lineage: Eukaryota; Fungi; Ascomycota; Dothideomycetes; Muyocopronales; Muyocopronaceae. The record is from RNAcentral.
GGCGAGUGAAGCGGCAACAGCUCAAAUUUGAAAUCUGGCGUCUUUGGCGUCCGAGUUGUAAUUUGUAGAGGAUGCUUCGGCGUAGGCGCCGCCUAAAGUUCCUUGGAACGGGACGUCGUAGAAGGUGAUAGCCCUGUGACAGGGCGGAUGCCGUCGCCAUGUGAAGCUCCUUCGACGAGUCGAGUUGUUUGGGAAUGCAGCUCAAAACGGGAGGUAAAUUUCUUCUAAAGCUAAAUACCGGCCGGAGACCGAUAGUGCACAAGUAGAGUGAUCGAAAGAUGAAAAGCACUUUGGAAAGAGAGUCAAACAGCGCGUGAAAUUGUUAAAAGGGAAGCGCUUGCGGUCAGAACUUGGCCGCCGUUGCUCGGGGAGGUCUCGUGCCUCCCUCGCUCUUCGGCGGCUGGGCCAGCAUCGGUUCGGGCGGCUCGAUAAAGGCCGCGGGAACGUAGCUCCCUCCGGGGAGUGUUAUAGCCCGCGGCGGAAUGGGGCCCGCCUGGAUCGAGGUCUGCGCAUCUGCUCGGAUGCUGGCGUAAUGGCCUCAAGCGGCCCGUCUUGAAACACGGACCAAGGAGUCUAACAUUCGUGCGAGUGUUCGGGUGUCAAACCCGUGCGCGCAAUGAAAGUGAACGUAGGUGGGAACCCCUCGUGGGCGCACCAUCGACCGAUCCUGAUGUCUUCGGAUGGAUUUGAGUAUGAGCACGUAUGUUGGGACCCGAAAGAUGGUGAACUAUGCGUAAACAGGGCGAAGCCAGAGGAAACUCUGGUGGAGGCUCGCAGCGGUUCUGACGUGCAAAUCGAUCGUCAAAUUCGCGCAUAGGGGCGAAAGACCAAUCGAACCAUCUAGUAGC